AUACAUGCAGGUCGAGCGAACUGAUUAGAAGCUUGAUUCUAUGACGUUAGCGGCGGACGGGUGAUUUACACGUGGGCAACCUGCCUGUAAGACUGGGAUAACUUCGGKAAACCGAAGCUAAUACCGGAUAGGAUCUUCUCCUUCAUGGGAGAUGAUUGAAAGAUGGUUUCGGCUAUCACUUACAGAUGGGCCCGCGGUGCAUUAGCUAGUUGGUGAGGUAACGGCUCACCAAGGCAACGAUGCAUAGCCGACCUGAGAGGGUGAUCGGCCACACUGGGACUGAGACACGGCCCAGACUCCUACGGGAGGCAGCAGYAGGGAAUCUUCCGCAAUGGACGAAAGUCUGACGGAGCAACGCCGCGUGAGUGAUGAAGGCUUUCGGGUCGUAAAACUCUGUUGUUAGGGAAGAACAAGUACGARAGUAACUGCUCGUACCUUGACGGUACCUAACCAGAAAGCCWCGGCUAACUACGUGCCAGCAGCCGCGGUAAUACGUAGGUGGSMARGCGUUAUCCGGAAUUAUUGGGCGUAAAGCGCGCGCAGGCGGWUUCUUAAGUCUGAUGUGAAAGCCCACSGCUCAMCCGUGGAGGGUCAUUGSAAACUGG
This 605-nucleotide ribosomal RNA is filed under the name Priestia aryabhattai. RNAcentral's name for it is "bacterial SSU rRNA". It matches the Rfam family "Bacterial small subunit ribosomal RNA", at positions 51 to 636 of the family's 1533-position model. The record is from RNAcentral. Lineage: Bacteria; Bacillati; Bacillota; Bacilli; Caryophanales; Bacillaceae.